UAUAUCUUGGCUACGCCCUGUCUAUUUACCCAUAUUUAGGGUUUUAGCGUGAUUCAACUUCACCAUUGCAACCAUUUUUGAAAUUAACAUGAUGGAUUCCUAUUACAUUUGUUCUUCUCCCCUAACCUUCUUCCUUAUUAUCGUGAUGAAGAUUAAUCAGGAUCGACUAUUGACAGGAGCAAGGUGCUCGAUGACACAAGGACCAAAAGAAGAAUUGAGGGCCCGUUUCCUUCAUCCAAUUUCAGGUCCAAGCUACCUAAUUGCAUAACGAGGCUCUAAAAACAAUAAUCAAAGUUUUCAAGAAUUGUGUUCGAGUCUAUGUAUUUGAUUGUAUGUAUAUGGUUUUUAGUGUGUUUGUAUAUGAAUAUGUGUAAUUAUGGGUGUGUGCAAUUGUAUUUAUUUGACCUAUGUAUGUGGUUGUUAAUGGGAUUUAAAAAAGUUCAAAAAAAUAGAGAAUUUUGUUAAAA
Molecule: non-coding RNA, 467 nt
Organism: Lactuca sativa (garden lettuce)
Lineage: Eukaryota; Viridiplantae; Streptophyta; Magnoliopsida; Asterales; Asteraceae
Source: RefSeq, a predicted model, not a curated record